UGUGGACGCCACUGCUUAAGCUCAAGGAAGCAUAGGUUAUUACAAUAACAGGCGAGUGGAAGACGCUGAGUGGCAGCGUGCAGGUUUCUGCUCCAGGAUUUUUGUUUGACAGUGACAGCAUCUAUUUUUACAUUUUCAGCAUAGAGACAUUACACUGAUAAUCACUGGAAUGAUGGGAGUUCCUGCAUCCUGUGUGGUGGUGCUAACAUUCAUUCUUUACAGCCACAGUUUGAAAAUACAAAGUACUCUGCAUGUGUCUAAAAGUUCUCAGGAAAAUGUUCUGAAUCCCAGUAAAUGUGUGUCCAGGACUAAUCAGCAGCAGAUAAUAGCAAAUCCAUACAACUUCUCUGUGGAUCUUCGCAUGCCUGGUGUUAUCCCAACUGGGGUAAGUGUGUUUCCACUCAAUGUUGGUGUGUGUCUAUCAGUAGGGAUGUGCAAUAUGACCAAAAUCACAUAUCCCGAUAUAAAACAUCUAUCGUCCCGAUAACGAUAUAAAUCACAAAAAUAUAAAAUUUUCUGUAUAUUCUGUGAAUCUCGGGCAGCUCGACUUGCGUGAAGUGUUUCCAGCUGGGCGUCUUGUACCUGGAGUCUAAUGUUUUAACCGAUACAUGAAACUACACCUUCUCAAACAUAAGUUGUAAUGGCCGCCGUUUUCUUUGUGAGUAUUUAUUACACGGCGUGCUGCAGGGAAAAGCCUGUUCUAACAUUUGACUCUAAGGUUUAUUUUUUAGCACCUGGCGGCUCUUUUUUGCGUCUCAUCUGUAAACACUCUUCAUACUCUUUCACGUGAUUCAGUUUAUUUUGAAAAGUCUCAACAGGAUCUUGAGCUUUAUUGUGAAAGGUUUAUGUGGAAAAUAAACAAGCGGACAUGCGGUGGUUUUACGGUCGUUGUUGCUAACUUGUUGUGCUUGUCCGUCCAUAGUGUGGUUAUAUUAAAUAUAAGAGAAAGAAAGAACUUUAAGAAAUUAAUAUAGCCACUACAGUGACCAUCAAAACGAUGAAAAAAUAUUGCCGUGAACAGUUUAUUUUGCGACACCAUGAAGCAAACGAUAGCGUAAAAUGAAACGAUAGUUGUUUUUAUAUCGUCAUCCAAUAUAUAUCGUUAUAUCGAACAGCCCUAUCUAUCAGUUGUUUGUUUCAGAAGUUUAUGCGCACUUAUCAAGGGUAUGAAUGCCAUGGUAAUUUGGGGCUUAUAAUUAGUUGUUUGACCUGUUCUUUUAAAUAAAGUAGAAUGAUUGUAUAGCUUAUAUAGUUAAUGACUUUAAAAUAAAAGAAUUUAGUGCACAAGUUUAAUUUUUAAAACAUGAUUUUUCUUUGUCCACACAUUUAAUACAUGCAGGCUCAAAUAUAUUUAUAUAUACGCCCAGUAAUAUUCAGUGUCCUUAAACAAGUUGUAGGUUAACCAAAUGCUUUUGGUAGCCAUUAACAAGUUUCUGGCACAACUCUGGAUGGAUACAUGAUCACCUUUCUGCUUUUGUGACCUUUGCCAGCAC
Astatotilapia calliptera (eastern happy) is the source of this 1493-nucleotide long non-coding RNA. Lineage: Eukaryota; Metazoa; Chordata; Actinopteri; Cichliformes; Cichlidae. The record is from Ensembl.